Molecule: unclassified non-coding RNA, 575 nt
Filed under: Hevea brasiliensis (rubber tree)
Lineage: Eukaryota; Viridiplantae; Streptophyta; Magnoliopsida; Malpighiales; Euphorbiaceae
Source: RNAcentral
UCAUUUUUGGAAAAUUUCAAUUUCCUAUAUUUUGGGUAUGCAAUGAAGUGGGGAUGUUUUUUUAGUAGUAAAUCUUCUUUCAACUAGACUCUAUCUUUUUCAUUUUUCCCUUCAUGUACGUAUACAUGUAAGCGUCUCUAUACUUGGAAACAUGUUAAUACAGUGGGCAUUGCCAUAUGCCGACGAAGAUAUUUUUGUAAGGAUAUUAGUGGCAUGUAUACAACUUGGUAUCUUCUGGGAAAUCAUACCUCAUGUUGAUUUUAUCUAAUAAUCCUAAUUUUAAAGUGCUUUUGGUUGACUAUACUGUUUACUUGAAUACAGCAAUUUCCAAUAAGCUUUCUUGUGAAGACAGUGUUUAUGAAUUUGGUUUGUUUAGUGUUUGUACUGAUGGCAUUAUUAGUUAGUUCCACCGGAUUUGUUGUUUUUAACGUCCAUUGAAUUAUAAUUGUCUGUAAAUUUUACUGUGCCUUAAUAAUCAGUGAAGGUUGCAUUUGGGUUUGGGUUGAAACGAGGAGUGCUUUAAAAUUUUUUUUUAUUUUUAAUUUUUUACAGGGAUUGAAAUUCCAUUACUUUGG